UACGUAGGGCGCAAGCGUUGUUCGGAAUUACUGGGCGUAAAGGGCUCGUAGGCGGCCAACUAAGUCAGACGUGAAAUCCCUCGGCUUAACCGGGGAACUGCGUCUGAUACUGGAUGGCUUGAGUUUGGGAGAGGGAUGCGGAAUUCCAGGUGUAGCGGUGAAAUGCGUAGAUAUCUGGAGGAACACCGGUGGCGAAGGCGGCAUCCUGGACCAACACUGACGCUGAGGAGCGAAAGCCAGGGGAGCAAACGGG
Molecule: ribosomal RNA, 253 nt
Filed under: uncultured bacterium
Lineage: Bacteria
Description: partial 16S ribosomal RNA
Rfam family: Bacterial small subunit ribosomal RNA
Source: RNAcentral